RNAcentral lists this ribosomal RNA (465 nucleotides) under uncultured Cercozoa. RNAcentral describes it as "partial 18S ribosomal RNA". It matches the Rfam family "Eukaryotic small subunit ribosomal RNA", at positions 945 to 1308 of the family's 1831-position model. The record is from RNAcentral. Lineage: Eukaryota; Cercozoa.
GCGAAAGCAUUCAUCAAUUACUUCUUCUUUAAUCAAGAACGAAAGUUAGAGUAGCAAAGGCCAUUAGAUGCGGCUGUAGUUUUAACCAUAAACGAUGACAUCUCAGGAUAUCAUUGAUGGGGUUUUCUCUGUCGGUAUUUGUGUGGAGCAAUCCAUAUGAUGCCGCAGAAACUCACAAACCCCUUGUACGCUUGAUACACAGGAGUAAUCCUGUAUAUCGCCAAGUCCAAUGACGCACUGUGUGGGAAACCAACAAGCUGCCUUCGUGGAGUGUAUUUUGGCAACGAAGAAAUUUAAAAGAAUUGACGGAAGUAUCACCACCAGGAGUGGAUCGUGCGGCUUAAUUUGACUCAACGCGGGAAAUCUCACCAGAGCCGAACACCGUGAGGAAAGACAGACUGCAGCUCUUUCUUGAUUCUGUGAUUGUCAAAUGUAGUGCAUGGCCUUUGGGAAGUGAGUGGAUUG